This 465-nucleotide ribosomal RNA is filed under the name Vreelandella stevensii. RNAcentral's name for it is "partial 16S ribosomal RNA". It matches the Rfam family "Bacterial small subunit ribosomal RNA", at positions 338 to 795 of the family's 1533-position model. The record is from RNAcentral. Lineage: Bacteria; Pseudomonadati; Pseudomonadota; Gammaproteobacteria; Oceanospirillales; Halomonadaceae.
CCUACGGGGGGCUGCAGUGGGGAAUAUUGGACAAUGGGGGCAACCCUGAUCCAGCCAUGCCGCGUGUGUGAAGAAGGCCCUCGGGUUGUAAAGCACUUUCAGUGAGGAAGAACGCCUGGUGGUUAAUACCCAUCAGGAAAGACAUCACUCACAGAAGAAGCACCGGCUAACUCCGUGCCAGCAGCCGCGGUAAUACGGAGGGUGCGAGCGUUAAUCGGAAUUACUGGGCGUAAAGCGCGCGUAGGUGGCUUGAUAAGCCGGUUGUGAAAGCCCCGGGCUCAACCUGGGAACGGCAUCCGGAACUGUCAAGCUAGAGUGCAGGAGAGGAAGGUAGAAUUCCCGGUGUAGCGGUGAAAUGCGUGGAGAUCGGGAGGAAUACCAGUGGCGAAGGCGGCCUUCUGGACUGACACUGACACUGAGGUGCGAAAGCGUGGGUAGCAAACAGGAUUAGAUACCCCUGUAGUC